UACGUAGGGGGCAAGCGUUAUCCGGAUUUACUGGGUGUAAAGGGAGCGCAGGCGGCGUGGCAAGUCAGAUGUGAAAACCCGGGGCCCAACCCCGGGAGUGCAUUUGAAACUGCCAUGCUGGAGUGCCGGAGAGGUAAGCGGAAUUCCUAGUGUAGCGGUGAAAUGCAUAGAUAUCACACAGAACACCGAUUGCGAAGGCAUCUCACGAAUCCGCGAUUGACGCUGAUGCACGAAAGCGUGGGUAUCAAACAGG
RNAcentral lists this ribosomal RNA (253 nucleotides) under uncultured Eubacteriales bacterium. RNAcentral's name for it is "uncultured Clostridiales bacterium partial 16S ribosomal RNA". It matches the Rfam family "Bacterial small subunit ribosomal RNA", at positions 524 to 776 of the family's 1533-position model. The record is from RNAcentral. Lineage: Bacteria; Bacillati; Bacillota; Clostridia; Eubacteriales.